Saimiri boliviensis boliviensis (Bolivian squirrel monkey) is the source of this 107-nucleotide small nuclear RNA. NCBI's taxonomy places the organism in Eukaryota, Metazoa, Chordata, Mammalia, Primates, Cebidae. The record is from Ensembl.
GUGCUUGCUUUGGCAGCACAGUUACUAAAAUUGGAAUGAUACAGAGAAGAUUAGCAUGGCUUCUGUGCAAAGAUGACAUGCAAAUUCAUGAAGUAUUUCAAUUAAUU